UCGGGUUGUAAAGCACUUUUGUCCGGAAAGAAAACUUCUGCAUUAAUACUGUGGGAGGAUGACGGUACCGGAAGAAUAAGCACCGGCUAACUACGUGCCAGCAGCGCGGUAAUCGUAGGGUGCGAGCGUUAAUCGGAAUUACUGGGCGUAAAGCGUGCGCAGGCGGUUCGUUAAGACAGAUGUGAAAUCCCCGGGCUUAACCUGGGAACUGCAUUUGUGACUGGCGAGCUAGAGUAUGGCAGAGGGGGGUAGAAUUCCACGUGUAGCAGUGAAAUGCGUAGAGAUGUGGAGGAAUACCGAUGGCGAAGGCAGCCCCCUGGGCCAAUACUGACGCUCAUGCACGAAAGCGUGGGGAGCAAACAGGAUUAGAUACCCUGGUAGUCCACGCCCUAAACGAUGUCAACUAGUUGUUGGGGAUUCAUUUCCUUAGUAACGUAGCUAACGCGUGAAGUUGACCGCCUGGGGAGUACGGUCGCAAGAUUAAAACUCAAAGGAAUUGACGGGGACCCGCACAAGCGGUGGAUGAUGGUGGAUUAAUUCGAUGCAACGCGAAAAACCUUACCUACCCUUGACAUGGUCGGAACCCUGCUG
RNAcentral lists this ribosomal RNA (591 nucleotides) under uncultured Burkholderia sp. Its description in RNAcentral is "bacterial SSU rRNA". It matches the Rfam family "Bacterial small subunit ribosomal RNA", at positions 418 to 1003 of the family's 1533-position model. The record is from RNAcentral. Lineage: Bacteria; Pseudomonadati; Pseudomonadota; Betaproteobacteria; Burkholderiales; Burkholderiaceae.